RNAcentral lists this ribosomal RNA (459 nucleotides) under uncultured Treponema sp. Its description in RNAcentral is "partial 16S ribosomal RNA". It matches the Rfam family "Bacterial small subunit ribosomal RNA", at positions 341 to 792 of the family's 1533-position model. Lineage: Bacteria; Pseudomonadati; Spirochaetota; Spirochaetia; Treponematales; Treponemataceae. The record is from RNAcentral.
ACGGGAGGCAGCAGCUAAGAAUAUUCCGCAAUGGGGGGAACCCUGACGGAGCGACGCCGCGUGAAUGAAGAAGGCCGGAAGGUUGUAAAAUUCUUUUGGACGUGAAGAAGGAGCCUUGGAGGGAAUGCUAAGGUGGUGACGGUAGCGUCUGAAUAAGCAACGGCUAAUUAUGUGCCAGCAGCCGCGGUAACACGUAAGUUGCGAGCGUUGUUCGGAAUUAUUGGGCGUAAAGGGCAUGUAGGCGGCGGUGUAAGCCUGAUGUGAAAUACCGGGGCUUAACUCCGGAAUUGCGUUGGGAACUGCGCAGCUUGAAUUACUGAGGGGGAGCCGGAAUUCCAGGUGUAGGGGUGAAAUCUGUAGAUAUCUGGAAGAACACCGAUGGCGAAGGCAGGCUUCUAUCAGAUGAUUGACGCUGAGGUGCGAAGGUGCGGGGAUCAAACAGGAUUAGAUACCCUGGUA